Bubalus bubalis (water buffalo) is the source of this 672-nucleotide long non-coding RNA. RefSeq lists it as uncharacterized. The transcript has 3 exons. The record is from RefSeq and is a predicted model, not a curated record. Lineage: Eukaryota; Metazoa; Chordata; Mammalia; Artiodactyla; Bovidae.
GUUAGCAUGCUUUCGGCUGGUAAUUAAGCAGCGCAAGCCAUCUGCACAUUGAAAGCUCUACAUUUUUCAUAUCUCGUGGGGGCAUCGAGUAAGUACAGGGCCAGCAAUCUGUGUACUUCAUUCCCUCCCCCAAAGCAGAAAAGCCAGGCUUCACCCACAGGUGUUCACUGGACCACCACUCCUUGGCUGACAUUCCUGGGAGGGCUGAUUUGGUUUGUUGGGUUUUUGGUAGAAAGGCAAGGAAGGAGGCCAUGUGGCCCCCUUGAGUGACAGCCUUGGUUUUCAACCAGGGGUGAUUUUGCCCCCUCUCUCUUUCAGGUGACAUUUGGCAAGGUCUGCAGACAUUUUUGGUUGUCAUAACUGGUGAGGGAAGGGGAUGUUUUUGCUAACUAGCAGCAAUUUUCUAGACUGUAGCACAUCCCCUGUACCCUCCACCUUGUCCUGAAACAGAAGCCUGUCCAAUCCCUGGGCCACUUGAAAUGCCUUGUCACCUUUCUCAAAGUGCAUCAACCCGAGCUACACAUUCCUUACAAAGCCAAGAAUACAGCUCGCUUGUAGGAUUGUCCAAGGGAACAGAAAGUAAGAAGCUAUGAACAACAACAAAUGAUGUCCAAGGCAGAAGUUUCUCAAUGCUCAGGCUAGAGAUGGCAGCUCCUCUGGCUCACCUGUUGU